GCACCCUGACAUCUGCUUUGUUUUAUAGGGUCUAGAACUGUCUGUUCUUUCUUUACCUCUGGGAAGACUGGGACUUAUGGUGCAGCCACCAGAUAGGAGAUCUGGUGCUGAGCCCCAGGCUGGGGCAGCAGGAAAACCACACCCAGUUACUUCCAGUCUGUUCUCUCUCACCAAGGUUCCCUGUCCCUCCAAGAACUAAUGCACAGAAACUCUCUCACUGGUGGACACUCCAUGGUUAAUAUUCUUCUCUUUUCUUCUGUGAUCAAAAGAAAUUCUGUUUCCUCAUAGAUGCUGGAAGUUCCCUAUGGAGAAAAAAAAUAUUAUUAUUUCUCAUCUUUUUGCACUCAUGGGCUAAGAGCUUCUCAAACCCCAAGGGCUCUGCUCACAAUCACCAAACGAAGGAAAAAGCAGCUGGAAAUGCAGCCCGGAGAUGUGUUCCCAGGAGUUGAGACUCUGGCUCCCGUAGAUUGCACCUCACACACGCACACCCUGUCUGUCUGUGUGCAUUUAGAGCACGUUCUCAAGAUCGAGUCUGAUUCUCACAACGACCCCAAGUAACCACAAUGACAAGUGUGAUGAGUUUCCCACAGUUCACAGAACAAGAUGGGAAGAAUGGUCCAGAAUCAUCCCACAGAACAAUGACUCACCAAUAGCUGCACAACAGUCAGGACAGAGCACAUGUCCGGAAAAUUUCAUUUUAAUUUGCCUCAGCUGGGACUACAGUUACUGUUUGAAAGAAAGAACAAUCAACAAAGUACCUAGGAAAGAAGACAUCUUGCAACACUCUUCAAUUUCUUCUUAAAUGCUUGGGGGAAACGUGAAAAAUUUUGAUAAAUAGGAAAACAAAAUUGUUGGCAAUAAAAUUAAUAAACAGCUUAUAUUUUCUUCCUUUCAAAUU
RNAcentral lists this long non-coding RNA (898 nucleotides) under Homo sapiens (human). RNAcentral's name for it is "HSALNT0028180". The record is from RNAcentral. Lineage: Eukaryota; Metazoa; Chordata; Mammalia; Primates; Hominidae.